UACGUAGGGGGCAAGCGUUGUCCGGAUUCAUUGGGCGUAAAGAGCGUGUAGGCGGCCAGAUAGGUCAGCUGUGAAAACUCGAGGCUCAACCUCGAGACGUCGGUUGAAACCAUCUGGCUAGAGUCCGGAAGAGGAGUGUGGAAUUCCCGGUGUAGCGGUGAAAUGCGCAGAUAUCAGGAGGAACACCGGUGGCGAAGGCGGGUCUCUGGGCAGUAACUGACGCUGAGGAGCGAAAGCGUGGGGAGCGAACAGG
This 253-nucleotide ribosomal RNA is filed under the name uncultured bacterium. Its description in RNAcentral is "partial 16S ribosomal RNA". It matches the Rfam family "Bacterial small subunit ribosomal RNA", at positions 524 to 776 of the family's 1533-position model. The record is from RNAcentral.